RNAcentral lists this ribosomal RNA (492 nucleotides) under uncultured bacterium. Its description in RNAcentral is "partial 16S ribosomal RNA". It matches the Rfam family "Bacterial small subunit ribosomal RNA", at positions 29 to 507 of the family's 1533-position model. The record is from RNAcentral.
AGUGAACGCUGGCGGUAGGCCUAACACAUGCAAGUCGAACGGCAGCACAGUAAGAGCUUGCUCUUACGGGUGGCGAGUGGCGGACGGGUGAGGAAUACAUCGGAAUCUACUUUUUCGGGGGGGAUAAGGUAGGGAAACUUACGCUAAUACGGCAUACGACCUACGGGUGAAAGCAGGGGAUCUUCGGACCUUGCGGGAUUGAAUGAGCCGAUGUCGGAUUAGCUAGUUGGCGGGGUAAAGGCCCACCAAGGCGACGAUCCGUAGCUGGUCUGAGAGGAUGAUCAGCCACACUGGAACUGAGACACGGUCCAGACUCCUACGGGAGGCAGCAGUGGGGAAUAUUGGACAAUGGGCGCAAGCCUGAUCCAGCCAUACCGCGUGGGUGAAGAAGGCCUUCGGGUUGUAAAGCCCUUUUGUUGGGAAAGAAAAGCAGCAGGUUAAUACCCCGCUGUUCUGACGGUACCCAAAGAAUAAGCACCGGCUAACUUCGUG